Anguilla anguilla (European eel) is the source of this 504-nucleotide long non-coding RNA. RefSeq lists it as uncharacterized. The record is from RefSeq and is a predicted model, not a curated record. The transcript has 4 exons. Lineage: Eukaryota; Metazoa; Chordata; Actinopteri; Anguilliformes; Anguillidae.
CAACUAUUGCCCGGGUCCUUCCAAUAUUACUUCCUGUUUGUUGCCUCUGCUUGUGGUUCAAGGACUGUGAUAUGGAAUAUCUGGUGUAAUUCCUGGCCUUUCCAGUUUAUGUGGGUACUUGAUAAACGAAGGCAAAGCACGACAGACUGUUUGCCGCCACAACCCGGGUAACCCAUGACCUCCUGUCAAAAGGAUGUCCAAAUACUCUGCACCAACCUGUACCUCAGAGGACUGGGGUAAUAGUACAUUGGAGCUUUAGACUAAGAUUUCAUAUAUUUGCUGUGUUUCCACUACUUGUGUGUGUAUAUGGCUUGGAUCUGCAGUGGUCUUUAAUAUUUUGUGUGUAAGGCUUUCGCCCUUGUGUAUCCAUUCACAGUGAUCUUAUUCCCUUUCGGGCAGGCUCCAUGUGUAUUCUGCCCUAGUGGCCAGUCAUGGUUACAGUUGUGUAGGAGGUUGUUGUUUUUUUCUAUUUUUUAAAAUUUAUUUAAACAAAUAAAUGCUAUG